GCCCUACUGGGGUGAUGUGUGAUGGUGCCACUGUCCCGCUCCCAUCUGAGGGGUCACUGCUCACCUGGCUGCCAGGAUGGAUCCUGGGAAUCUGCCCCUGGUCUGGGGAGGAACAGCUGAGCCUCGCUGGGAUGUCUGGGGAUGUUCCCCCAGCUCUGUCCAUAGGAGCUCCAGACCCCCAGGGGCUCAGGGAGGGCUCAGUGGGGACCCCCAGGUGGAGCCUCCUGUACUUCCAGGUGCCACUGGAAUCCGAGGGUGAGGAGGCCGCUCUGCCCGAGCAGGAGCUGGGGAGCAGCGUGGGCAGCCGGGAGCUCCGUGGGAUCGCCAGGAAGGGGAACUACGAGGCCAUGGUCCCUCUCGGUGACAUGAUCGUGAUCAAGACGGAAGAG
Molecule: long non-coding RNA, 389 nt
Filed under: Geospiza fortis (medium ground-finch)
Lineage: Eukaryota; Metazoa; Chordata; Aves; Passeriformes; Thraupidae
Description: lncRNA (ENSGFOG00000014558.1)
Source: RNAcentral